This 282-nucleotide long non-coding RNA is filed under the name Danio rerio (zebrafish). RNAcentral's name for it is "lncRNA si:dkey-117p4.1 (ENSDARG00000097186.2)". The record is from RNAcentral. Lineage: Eukaryota; Metazoa; Chordata; Actinopteri; Cypriniformes; Danionidae.
AAGACAUCAAACAGACUACUGUUUCACAUUUGCUUUAAAAGAAAAUGACAUGCUAAUAUCACACAUAGUCAAAAAUAAUCUCACAGUUUGACAUUAAUAACUCGAACGAACUGCAACAAACUUGGAAAAAGUAGACCUACUCCAUUUCAAAAGAUGUGAAAAAUCAUCCCUUGGUAACGUUGCCACCUUGUGUACAAACUGAUUAGUGCUGAAUUAAUCCAUGAUGCCUGUGUGACUGUAAUGCUGAAGAUGUCUUCUGAUAGUUUAAAUAUAUCAAUUUAC